RNAcentral lists this transfer RNA (72 nucleotides) under Camelus bactrianus (Bactrian camel). It matches the Rfam family "tRNA". Rfam says of the family: Transfer RNA (tRNA) molecules are approximately 80 nucleotides in length. Their secondary structure includes four short double-helical elements and three loops (D, anti-codon, and T loops). The record is from Rfam by way of RNAcentral. RNAcentral also lists the same sequence under 1 other name. Lineage: Eukaryota; Metazoa; Chordata; Mammalia; Artiodactyla; Camelidae.
GAGUGUAUAGCUCAGUGGUAGAGUGCGUGCUUAGCAUGCACUAGGUCCUGGGUUCAAUCCUCAGUACCUCCA